UACCAGCACCCCGAGUGGUCGGGACGAUUAUUGGGCCUAAAGCAUCCGUAGCCGGUUCUUUAAGUCCUCCGUUAAAUCCACCUGCUUAACAGAUGGGCUGCGGAGGAUACUAUGGAGCUAGGAGGCGGGAGAGGCAAGCGGUACUUAGUGGGUAGGGGUAAAAUCCGUUGAUCCAUUGAAGACCACCAGUGGCGAAGGCGGCUUGCCAGAACGCACUCGACGGUGAGGGAUGAAAGCUGGGGGAGCAAACCGG
Molecule: ribosomal RNA, 253 nt
Filed under: uncultured bacterium
Lineage: Bacteria
Description: partial 16S ribosomal RNA
Rfam family: Archaeal small subunit ribosomal RNA
Source: RNAcentral